GACGAACGCUGGCGGCGUGCUUAACACAUGCAAGUCGAACGAGUGGCGAACGGGUGAGUAAUACGUGGGUAACCUGCCCUCUUUUUGGGAUAAGCCUUGGAAACGGGGUCUAAUACCGAAUACAGGGGGAUCGGCUCGCGGCCUAUCAGCUUGUUGGUGGGGUGAUGGCCUACCAACGCGGUGACGGGUAGCCGGCCUGAGAGGGUGACCGGGCACAGUGGGACUGAGGUACGGCCCAGACGCCUACGGGAGGCAGCAGUGGGGGAUAUUGCACAAUGGGCGAUAGCCUGAUGCAGCGUCGCCGCGUGGGGGAUGAAGGUUGUCGGGUUGUAAACCUCGUGCGCUAGGGAACGGUUAGGUGGAGAAGAAGCGCCGGCUAACUACGUGCCAGCAGCCGCGGUAAUAC
RNAcentral lists this ribosomal RNA (406 nucleotides) under uncultured bacterium. Its description in RNAcentral is "partial 16S ribosomal RNA". It matches the Rfam family "Bacterial small subunit ribosomal RNA", at positions 28 to 526 of the family's 1533-position model. The record is from RNAcentral.